This 254-nucleotide ribosomal RNA is filed under the name uncultured bacterium. RNAcentral describes it as "partial 16S ribosomal RNA". It matches the Rfam family "Bacterial small subunit ribosomal RNA", at positions 524 to 776 of the family's 1533-position model. The record is from RNAcentral.
UACAGAGGAUGCAAGCGUUAUCCGGAAUGAUUGGGCGUAAAGCGUCCGCAGGUGGUUUUGUAAGUCUGCUGUUAAAGCGUUAGGCUCAACCUAAUAAGGGCAGUGGAAACUAUGAGACUAGAGUAUGUUAGGGGUAGAGGGAAUUCCCAGUGUAGCGGUGAAAUGCGUAGAGAUUGGGAAGAACACCGGUGGCGAAAGCGGCAUCCUGGACCAACACUGACGCUGAGUGAGCGAAAGCCAGGGGAGCAAACGGG